Molecule: ribosomal RNA, 546 nt
Filed under: Salmonella enterica
Lineage: Bacteria; Pseudomonadati; Pseudomonadota; Gammaproteobacteria; Enterobacterales; Enterobacteriaceae
Description: bacterial SSU rRNA
Rfam family: Bacterial small subunit ribosomal RNA
Source: RNAcentral
UUUCCAGAGAUGGAUUGGUGCCUUCGGGAACUGUGAGACAGGUGCUGCAUGGCUGUCGUCAGCUCGUGUUGUGAAAUGUUGGGUUAAGUCCCGCAACGAGCGCAACCCUUAUCCUUUGUUGCCAGCGAUUAGGUCGGGAACUCAAAGGAGACUGCCAGUGAUAAACUGGAGGAAGGUGGGGAUGACGUCAAGUCAUCAUGGCCCUUACGACCAGGGCUACACACGUGCUACAAUGGCGCAUACAAAGAGAAGCGACCUCGCGAGAGCAAGCGGACCUCAUAAAGUGCGUCGUAGUCCGGAUUGGAGUCUGCAACUCGACUCCAUGAAGUCGGAAUCGCUAGUAAUCGUGGAUCAGAAUGCCACGGUGAAUACGUUCCCGGGCCUUGUACACACCGCCCGUCACACCAUGGGAGUGGGUUGCAAAAGAAGUAGGUAGCUUAACCUUCGGGAGGGCGCUUACCACUUUGUGAUUCAUGACUGGGGUGAAGUCGUAACAAGGUAACCGUAGGGGAACCUGCGGUUGGAUCACCUCCUUACCUGAAAGAA